GACGAACGCUGGCGGCGUGCUUAACACAUGCAAGUCGAACGGAAAGGCCCUGAUUUUGUGGGGUGCUCGAGUGGCGAACGGGUGAGUAACACGUGAGUAACCUGCCCUUGACUUUGGGAUAACUUCAGGAAACUGGGGCUCAUACCGGAUAGGAGCUCCUGCUGCAUGGGGGGGGUUGGAAAGUUUCGGCGGUUGGGGAUGGACUCGCGGCGUAUCAGCUUGUUGGUGGGGUAGUGGCUUACCAAGGCUUUGACGGGUAGCCGGCCUGAGAGGGUGAGAGGCGGCACUGGGACAGAGGUGCGGCCCAGACUCCGACUGGUGCCAGCAGUGGGAAAUAUUGAACAAGGGACGGAGGCCGGAUGCAGCAGCGCCGCGGGCGGGAUGACGGCCUUCUGGUUGUAGACCGCUUUCGCCUGUGACGAAGCGUGUGUGACGGGAACGGAUAAAGAAACACCGGCUAACUUCGGG
RNAcentral lists this ribosomal RNA (468 nucleotides) under uncultured bacterium. RNAcentral describes it as "partial 16S ribosomal RNA". It matches the Rfam family "Bacterial small subunit ribosomal RNA", at positions 28 to 507 of the family's 1533-position model. The record is from RNAcentral.